Molecule: unclassified non-coding RNA, 526 nt
Filed under: Hevea brasiliensis (rubber tree)
Lineage: Eukaryota; Viridiplantae; Streptophyta; Magnoliopsida; Malpighiales; Euphorbiaceae
Source: RNAcentral
AGCCUUUGCAUUGUAAUUGAAACAUUUCUUACAUUCAUUUAAUGAUACAGAAAUAACUUUAAUUUCUCUCGCUCUCUCUUUUCCUCUUCCCUUCUCUUCUUGAAUCUCUUUCUUCUCUGCCUCUGUUCCUUCCUUCAGUCCCUCUUUGUUUCCUUUCUUCUUCAGUUCUGGUGCACUGGAACAAUUCAGAAUCUUGGCCUUCAUAACACAAUCAUUCCAUAUACCUCAGAGCUCAAAACGAGGCACAUGGAUAGUAUUCUGAAAUAUUUGAUACUAGCAAUAAAUAUAAACAUCCAAAAUAGCUACAAGAGAAGAAAAAUACAGGAACCUUUCAGGGGUCACACUUUCGAACAAAAAUUCUCUUUUCAACAUCAACUGCUUUAACACCCCAACCCCCCAACCCUCUGUUUUCUACUACCGCGGUCACUCCUCUCUGCAAUGUAAUUUAGUGGCCGUUUAUCAUUUCCCUCCUUCCAUUAAUAAUUGGAAAUAACAUCGAGCCACAAAUGAAAGUUUUACACCUCAA